This is a long non-coding RNA of Phyllopteryx taeniolatus (common seadragon), 1940 nucleotides long. RefSeq lists it as uncharacterized. The transcript is spliced from 3 exons. The record is from RefSeq and is a predicted model, not a curated record. Lineage: Eukaryota; Metazoa; Chordata; Actinopteri; Syngnathiformes; Syngnathidae.
CUUGGGCUUAUUCGUAGGCAGAGGUGGGUAGGAACCCGUUACAAUUACUCCGUUACAUUUACUCAAGUUGCAUUUUGGAUAAAUUGUUCUUAGUUUUAAUGCAGCAUACGUUUUACUUUUACUCGAGUAGUUAUGUUUGCUUUAUGUAUGUAUGUAUGUAUUAAGAAGAAACGGUACUUUUACUCCGUUUAUUUAUCAAUUAUUGCUUUUUAUUCGUGUGCGAUGUGUUCAGACUACGGCUUCCGCAUUGGGCUUUUUGCUUCAAUACAACGUAAUUGCUAGCGACAAUCACAUGACCGAACAAAACGUCUUCUAUUGGGCUUCGCGGGCACAUGUACAAAAAGUAGAUAUGGCAACCUGGUAAUCGACGUACGUAUGUGGCGGCCAUGUUGGGGAGGUCGUCGUUACUAUGAAGGCAAUGGCGCGCCACUAAGUUUAAAUUUCACACAACAAAAACAGCAGCUUUCAUGCAUUGUGUUAAUUUGGAUGGCACAUUCUGCCCAAACGUGGAUACUACAGCCCACUUCUAAGUUGAGAAAACAGCUUGCGAAGCCCUCACGUGUGAACUGGCCUUCUUUUCUCGACACUUGCACCUCCCACGCGCCCUCAGCACUUCCUGCGCCUGCGCCUGCGCCGCCGCACGUUUCCAUUGUGGUUCAUCGGGCCAUUGAGCAGAUGAGCUGAAUAACCGCGGAGGGCGGUGGGUGAGGGGGCAACAGCAACGGGAACAUGGAUCAUGGGCAUGUGUGUGUUUGUGUGUGUGUGUGUGUGUGUGGUCUGUGCCACGUCUAUAAGUGGCAGAUUGGGCUAAGAGAGGAAGAGAUGGAAUACUGACUCAUGAAGAAGUGCCACAUUUGUCACCUCACUUUUAGAAAUAGAUAUAUCAGGCCGCUACUUGAAAGAGGAAGGCAGAAAUAUCACAUGAAUUGUCACAGCCAACUGGAGGGGUACAUCGCAGUGCGUAUGACUGUGUGUUUGUGCGCGUGUGGAUUUGUUCUUGUUCAAGUUUUAUCAAAUUUUGAGAAGUGUUUUCCUUCACUAAUCAAUGCAACUUGUAUUAUUUUCAGUCCUUUUUUAAGAUAGAACCAGAUUAAUUUACUGUAUGUAUACUACACUUAGUAGUGCAGAUAUGCAGUGUUUAGCCUGUUUGCAUCAAAAUCUAUGUAGGAGUUUAUACAAAAAUAAAUCCAGUCUAAAGAGCAAGAAAUGCAAUUUUUCAGAUUGAAUUUGAUAGCAAAUUCCAACAAUAUAACCGCUUUUUUUUCAUAGUAUUUCACGUUAUAUAAUAUUAAAUUUCAGUAAAUAAUUCAAUUGCUAUGGUUUAUAUUCUUUUAUUUUAUUUUUGUGUAGCUUGGUAGACAGUACAAUCAUUAUUUCAUAUCUUUUUACCUUACAUUACAUUUCAAUAAAUAACGUAACCACCGCCGUAGUGGCACGGUUUUAUAUUAUUUUAUUUUUCAUUACGUUUCCAAAGAUAAUAGAACCACUAUGAUUUAUAUUACAUUAUAUUACAUUGUAUAUUAAAUUUAAAUGCAAGAAAUAACCACUGUUUUUACUAUUUUAUUUUUGUUUAAAAUUUCAAUGAACAUAAUAAUGUCCUUUUGGAAAAGUACCGUAUUUUCGGCCCUCUGUAUGUUUCAAAUAUAUUGAGGACUGACAAUAACAUGCUACCUUAUCAUACCAUCUGCUUUAAAGAAAAACACAUUUUAUGUAAUUAGAUUUAGUCCAAUGUGAUGUAAUGUUUUAAAUACAUUGUACAAUGUACUGUACAAUAAAUUGUUUUCUUUUAAAAAAAUUUAUACAAUAUUAUUUUUAUAAUACUAUAAUACUUGACUUUAGAGUUGAAUUCAUUCUGACACUCUCAAAUCAUCUUUCCCCAUCAAAGUGGAUGGAAAUGCCAUUAAUCUGUUCCAGCCCGACAAUAAAGCACCCCCCAAGAA